RNAcentral lists this non-coding RNA (155 nucleotides) under Rhodospirillales bacterium. RNAcentral's name for it is "6S RNA". It matches the Rfam family "6S / SsrS RNA". Rfam says of the family: E. coli 6S RNA was the first non coding RNA to be sequenced, but its function was unknown until recently. It consists of 184 nucleotides that fold into an extended hairpin structure with a large single-stranded internal bulge. The record is from RNAcentral. Lineage: Bacteria; Pseudomonadati; Pseudomonadota; Alphaproteobacteria; Rhodospirillales.
GCGAGGCUGGCCUUCACGCCAGGCAAGUCAUGCCCAGGGCCAAUAAGCAACUCCCGGGAGCUGGCUCUGGCAGGAUCGUGGUCCUGUUAUCUGGUGCCCACCUGUUUCGGCAGGCCUUGGGAGCAUGCAACGCCAGCGGCCGUGCUGGCCUCGCA